CGUAGGGACCGAGCGUUGUCCGGAUUCAUUGGGCGUAAAGAGCUCGUAGGCGGCCACUCAAGUCGAAUGUGAAACCUCGAGGCUUAACCUCGAGCCUGCACUCGAUACUGGGCGGCUAGAGUCUGGUAGGGGGAUCUGGAAUUCCUGGUGUAGCGGUGGAAUGCGCAGAUAUCAGGAGGAACACCGGUGGCGAAGGCGGGAUCCUGGGCCAGUACUGACGCUGAGGAGCGAAAGCGUGGGGAGCAAACAGGAUUAGAUACCCUGGUAGUCCACGCCGUAAACGAUGGGCGCUAGGUGUGGGAGGUCAUCGACUCCUUCCGUGCCGCAGCUAACGCAUUAAGCGCCCCGCCUGGGGAGUACGGCCGCAAGGCUA
Molecule: ribosomal RNA, 373 nt
Filed under: uncultured organism
Description: bacterial SSU rRNA
Rfam family: Bacterial small subunit ribosomal RNA
Source: RNAcentral